UACGUAGGGCGCGAGCGUUGUCCGGAUUUAUUGGGCGUAAAGAGCUCGUAGGCGGCUUGUCGCGUCGACUGUGAAAUCCCGCGGCUCAACCGCGGGUCUGCAGUCGAUACGGGCAGGCUAGAGUUCGGUAGGGGAGACUGGAAUUCCUGGUGUAGCGGUGAAAUGCGCAGAUAUCAGGAAGAACACCAGUGGCGAAGGCGGCUCUCUGGGACGGUACUGACGCUGAGACGCGAAAGCGUGGGGAGCGAACAGG
Molecule: ribosomal RNA, 253 nt
Filed under: uncultured bacterium
Lineage: Bacteria
Description: partial 16S ribosomal RNA
Rfam family: Bacterial small subunit ribosomal RNA
Source: RNAcentral